UACGGAGGGAGCUAGCGUUGUUCGGAAUUACUGGGCGUAAAGCGCACGUAGGCGGCUUUGUAAGUUAGGGGUGAAAGCCCGGAGCUCAACUCCGGAAUUGCCUUUAAGACUGCAUCGCUUGAAUCCGGGAGAGGUGAGUGGAAUUCCGAGUGUAGAGGUGAAAUUCGUAGAUAUUCGGAAGAACACCAGUGGCGAAGGCGGCUCACUGGCCCGAUACUGACGCUGAGGCACGAAAGCGUGGGGAGCAAACAGG
Molecule: ribosomal RNA, 253 nt
Filed under: uncultured bacterium
Lineage: Bacteria
Description: partial 16S ribosomal RNA
Rfam family: Bacterial small subunit ribosomal RNA
Source: RNAcentral